GACGAACGCUGGCGGCGUGCUUAACACAUGCAAGUCGAACGGAAAGGCCCUGCUUUUGUGGGGUGCUCGAGUGGCGAACGGGUGAGUAACACGUGAGUAACCUGCCCUUGACUUUGGGAUAACUUCUGGAAACUGGGACUAAUACCGGAUAGGAGCUCCUGCUGCAUGGUGGGGGUUGGAAAGUUUCGGCGGUUGGGGAUGGACUCGCGGCUUAUCAGCUUGUUGGUGGGGUAGUGGCUUACCAAGGCUUUGACGGGUAGCCGGCCUGAGAGGGUGACCGGCCACAUUGGGACUGAGAUACGGCCCAGACUCCUACGGGAGGCAGCAGUGGGGAAUAUUGCACAAUGGGCGGAAGCCUGAUGCAGCAACGCCGCGUGCGGGAUGACGGCCUUCGGGUUGUAAACCGCUUUCGCCUGUGACGAAGCGUGAGUGACGGUAAUGGGUAAAGAAGCACCGGCUAACUACGUG
This 468-nucleotide ribosomal RNA is filed under the name uncultured bacterium. RNAcentral describes it as "partial 16S ribosomal RNA". It matches the Rfam family "Bacterial small subunit ribosomal RNA", at positions 28 to 507 of the family's 1533-position model. The record is from RNAcentral.